AUUGCCUUAAAGCAUACAUCGAGUGAUUUUCAACCCACUUUGUAUUGUUACUAUGAUGGUAAUAUAUGUGAACAAACAAUAUUUAAUAUUUUUCUGAGUUCCAUGAGAUAUACCCAUUUAUUUGUCAGACAAAUAAUAUUUAGCAUUAUCCGAGUAUUGUUUAUUUACAUAUUACAGACUUUGUGACAGUAUAAAGUGGAUUUAAAUUCACCAAACUUACCCUUUAAUGGUUGUCUGUUUAACUGAACAUGACUUUGAACACAUAACUUGUAUUAUCUUAGAGUUAUUGACAUAUUAAUUUGUUGCCAGAAGAUGCUCCCCAUUGAGUCACAGUCACCUCAUGCUGUUGAUAGGAUUUUUUUUUUUUUUGAAACCUUGACAUUUUCUAAAGCUGCUUUGAUUGUGAAAAGCAGUGUACCCUUACAACAGUUAACCAUGUUUUUACUAUGGUAAAACUAGUAAUCAUAACUGUAGUAAUCAGGGUUUUUUAGUUUUUCUCAAACUAAGGUUUUGAUAUCAUGGUUCUACAAUAGUAAUAUUUUAGUAAUGCUGGAGUAAAACUGUGGUAACCAUAGUUUUUGAAACCAGAUAGCAAGCACACUCGGGCCGAUUCAUGGCUGAAAUGCGGCACUGUCGGCUCAGUCACGACCUCGGUGAGAAGAUAAUGGGCCAGAGCCGCGCCGACUCUACAAAACACUUCUGGCUGACAGACUGCUUUUUCUCUCUGGGCCGAUCUCGGCUGAAAGCUGUUGUACGUGCGGCAGGUCCGCACUCGGCGUAGUUGUGUGUAUCUACCUCAGGCCCGAGCUGGUUUUGUCUCCGGCGGGCCGCUGCUAGAAUGAAAGCCGCCUGAGAGAGAGAUUUGGCGGUUAAUCCUGAGGAGAUUUCGGCGGGCACAGUUCUCAAGAGGAAUUAUCUUCAGCUGCAAACUGAAAUUCUGAGCUGCUGCAUGAACAUUCAUCAGACUUAUAAGGCUGCAAUUUGGAAAAAACUUUCAAGCUAAUGCUGCUGAAAUGGAGUUCAAGGGGACUGAAGAGGUGGGUCCAGCUGAUCAAAAGGGUGGACUUCAGGAGGCAGACACACUCUGUGAGUUUAAAAGACCCAUCUCUUUAACCUUCCAUACACAUGACACACAAUCACAUUUCUAUAAUUCAAAUCUCUUAAAGGAUCUUUAUGCUGCACCAAUUAGGGUAAGCAGCAACACUUCCUAUAAUAUCUAAUGUACUUGUUAAUUUGUAAGAAGAAUGACAUCAUUCUUCUUACAACUUUGACUUUGAAUGUGCUUCGAUUGCUUCAGUCUGUUGUGCUGCUGAGAGGUUUGUGUUUGUAGCUCCGUGUACCUUCGCUUUUUAUUGAAUCUCUACCUUACUUUCAAUCCCUUUUGUCUAAAGUGAUAAUAUAUAACUUAAUUCCCACCAUAUUUCUGGUGUUAUCUUUCAAACUAAUCUAACUAAUUUGAUCGUUCGCCUUUAAAAACCGCGAGUGCAGCUUGUUAGCCCGUUAGCUUGUCACUCGCGGUUCCAUUUGCAUUUCUAUUCGCGCCUAUUAUUAUUUUAUUUUUUCCUCGCUCCGUUUUUCACGAGCUCAUCAAACAACAGUGGUAAGUGGUAAGUUAAGUUGGUAUCAUUCAUCAAUCACGGUGAGUAAUGGCUUCUUCUCCUGCUAUUGUUGUUUGCACUGUCUGCCACAUGUAUAGUUUAUCCGUCUCUGUCAGCAGCGAGGGAUUCACAUGUGAUAAAUGCAGGGAAAUAGUUAGGCUGACAGAGAAGGUUUUAGAACUAGAGACACGCAUCCAAACUUUAGUUGAGGACAGUAAGAAUGUGAGGGCUGUAGAUACUGCUUUGGAUGCGACUAGUUCAGGGAGUCCUGUACAUUGUUCGGUUUCGGUUGAGCCCGUGCAGCAGGGCAACUGGGUGACAGUGAGGCGGCAUAGUCGCGGGUCAAAACACCACUCUUCCGUUCCGAUCAGAACAUCAAACAGGUUCUUCCCACUCAGUGAAGCACCCACUGAGAAACCUGAUGAAAGUGCUCUAGUUAUUGGCGAUUCUAUUGUUAUGCGGAACGUGAAAAUAGAGACACCAGCCACCAUAGUCCAUUGUUUACCAGGAGCCAGAGCGCCUGACAUCUUGGCAAAUUUAAAAGUGCUGACUAAUGCUAAACGUAAAUUCAGUAAGAUUAUCCACGUCGGCGCAAAUGAUGUUCGACUUCGCCAGUCGGAGAUCACCAAAAAUAAUGUUAAAGAGGUGUGUGAACUUGCAAGUACGAUGUCAGACACUGUAAUAUGCUCUGGUCCGCUCCAUGCUUACCGGGGUGAUGACAUUCAUAGCAGACUGUCGUCACUUAAUGGCUGGAUGUCUAAGUGGUGCCCGCAAAAUAACAUAGGCUUUAUAGACAAUUGGAAGAAUUUUUGGGGCAGACCUGACCUGUUGAAAAGAGAUGGUGUUCAUCCCUCCUGGGGUGGUGCCGCUCUUCUCUCUAGAAAUAUGGCACAUAGUCUUAGAGUUUGUACUUGACUAACUGGAGCCCAGGUCAGGAAGCAGACAGACUGGCUAAACCGAUCGUCUGCUAGCCACCUCACGUCACCAAAGUCAGUUAACUCUCAGCACAUAGAAACUUUUUCAUCUAGAUAUCACACUAUAGAGACUGUGUCUGUUCCCCGAACUAGAAAAUACAGAAAACAUCCAAACCAAAGUAAUAGUAACAAUUUAAUUGAUGUUCAACAAAUAAAAAACCGAUAUAAUACAGAUAAACACAUGAUAAAGCUUGGCUUAUUGAAUAUUAGAUCCCUUUCUUCAAAAGCACUUUUUGUAAAUGAUAUGUUCACUGACCAUAAACUAGAUGUGCUUUGUCUGACAGAAACCUGGCUAAAACAAGAUGAUUACAUUACUUUAAACGAGUCUACACCCCAAGAUUACUGUUACAAACGUGAACCGCGUCCAAAAGGUAAAGGGGGAGGUGUUGCUACAAUUUAUAGAAAUAUUUUCAGUAUCUCUCAGAGGUCGGGUUUCAAGUAUAAUUCGUUCGAAGUAAUGGUGCUUCAUAUAACGUUAUCCAAAGAAACAAGUGUUAAUGAUUAAAUCCCCUGUGAUGUUUGUACUGGCUACUGUAUACAGGCCACCAGGGCACCAUACAGACUUUAUUAAAGAAUUUUCUGAUCUUCUAUCGGAGUUAGUACUGACUGCAGAUAAAGUCUAAACUAAAGUCAACUAAUCAUUGGUGAUUUUAAUAUCCAUGUUGAUAAUGAAAGAGAUUCGUUGGGAUCAGCAUUUAUAGACAUUCUAAACUCAAUUGGUGUUAAACAACACGUGUCAGGACCUACUCAUUGUCGAAAUCAUACUCUAGAUUUAAUACUGUCACAUGGAAUUGAUGUCAGUGGCGUUGAAAUUUUACAGCAGAGCGAUGAUAUCUCAGCUCAUUAUCUAGUCUCCUGUAUAUUCCAUAUAGCUAAAGCUGUAAAGCCAACUUCUUGUUACAAAUAUGGUAGAACCAUCACUUCUACCACAAAAGACUGCUUUAUAAAUAAUCUUCCUGACUUAUCUCAGUUCCUCAGCAUAUCCAAUAGCUCAGAACAACUUGAUGAUGUAACAGGAACUAUGGACUCUCUCUUUUCUAGCACUUUAGAUGCGGUUGCUCCUUUACGCUUAAGGAAGAUUAAGGAUAAGAGUCCAACACCGUGGUAUAAUGAGCACACCCGCGCCCUAAAGAGAGCAGUCCGGAAAAUGGAGCGCAGCUGGAGGAAAACUAAAUUAGAGGUAUUUUGUUUAGCUUGGCGGGAAAGUACCCUAUCCUACAGAAAAGCAUUAAAAACUGCUAGAUCUGAUUACUUUUUGUCUCUUCUAGAAGAAAACAAACAUAACCCUCAGUAUUUAUUCAAUACAGUAACUAAAUUAACGAAAAAUCAAGCAUCAACAGGUGUUGGCAUGUCCCAAGAGCAUAGCAGUAAUGACUUUAUGAACUACUACACUUCCAAGAUCGAUACUAUCAGAGAUAAAAUUGUAUCCUUGCAGCCGUCAGCUACAGUAUCGCAUCAGAUAGCGCACUAUAGAUCCCCUGAGGAACAAUUCCACUCAUUCUCUACUGUGGGAGAGGAAGAAUUGUAUAAACUUUUUAAAUCAUCUAAACCAACAACAUGUAUGUUAGACCCGAUUCCAUCUAAACUACUAAAAGAGCUGCUUCCAGAAGUCAUAGAUCCUCUUUUGGCUAUUAUUAAUUCAUCAUUGUCAUUAUGAUAUGUCCCCAAAACCUUCAAAUUGGCUGUUAUUAAGCCUCUCAUUAAAAAAACACAACUUGACCCCAAAGAUCUAGUUAAUUACAGACCGAUCUCAA
Onychostoma macrolepis is the source of this 4326-nucleotide long non-coding RNA. RefSeq lists it as uncharacterized. The record is from RefSeq and is a predicted model, not a curated record. The transcript is spliced from 3 exons. NCBI's taxonomy places the organism in Eukaryota, Metazoa, Chordata, Actinopteri, Cypriniformes, Cyprinidae.